This 465-nucleotide ribosomal RNA is filed under the name uncultured bacterium. Its description in RNAcentral is "partial 16S ribosomal RNA". It matches the Rfam family "Bacterial small subunit ribosomal RNA", at positions 338 to 795 of the family's 1533-position model. The record is from RNAcentral.
CCUACGGGAGGCAGCAGUGGGGAAUAUUGCGCAAUGGGCGAAAGCCUGACGCAGCGACGCCGCGUGAGGGAUGAAGGUCUUCGGAUCGUAAACCUCUGUCAGCAGGGAAGAACGGUCACUGUGCUAAUCAGCAGUGAAUUGACGGUACCUGCAAAGGAAGCACCGGCUCACUCCGUGCCAGCAGCCGCGGUAAUACGGAGGGUGCGAGCGUUAAUCGGAAUUACUGGGCGUAAAGCGCUCGUAGGCGGUAUGUCAAGUCAAGGGUGAAAUCCCCGCGCUCAACGUGGGAACUGCCUUUGAAACUGGCAAACUAGAGUGUGGGAGAGGAUAGUGGAAUUCCAGGUGUAGCGGUGAAAUGCGUAGAUAUCAGGAGGAACAUCAGUGGCGAAGGCGACUAUCUGGCACAUAACUGACGCUCAGGCACGAAAGCGUGGGUAUCGAACAGGAUUAGAUACCCCUGUAGUC